Unclassified non-coding RNA from Ursus americanus (American black bear), 237 nucleotides. Its record names the gene 7SK. It matches the Rfam family "7SK RNA". Rfam says of the family: 7SK was discovered as an abundant small nuclear RNA in the mid-70s but a possible function has only recently been suggested. Two independent studies have found that 7SK RNA binds the CDK9/cyclin T complex (known as elongation factor P-TEFb). P-TEFb activates transcription by phosphorylating the C-terminal domain of RNA polymerase II. Lineage: Eukaryota; Metazoa; Chordata; Mammalia; Carnivora; Ursidae. The record is from Ensembl.
GGAUAUAAGGGUGAUCGGGCUGGCCAGGCGGGUGUCCCCUUCCUCCCUCAUCACUCACGUGCGUCCCUCCCAAAGCUGCGCGCUCGGUCGAAGAGGACGACUGUCCUUCGGUCAAGGGUGUAUGAGUAGCUGCACUGUUCUGCUGGAACGUCCAAACAAGCUCUCAAGAAAGCCAAUAGUUGGGGCAAGUUACAAAAAAAUCUUUAAAAGCAUUUGGCCAGAGGGGCGCCCAGGUGG